UACGAAGGGUGCAAGCGUUACUCGGAAUUACUGGGCGUAAAGCGUGCGUAGGUGGUUCGUUAAGUCUGAUGUGAAAGCCCUGGGCUCAACCUGGGAAUGGCAUUGGAAACUGGCGACCUAGAGUGCGGUAGAGGGUAGUGGAAUUCCCGGUGUAGCAGUGAAAUGCGUAGAGAUCGGGAGGAACAUCCGUGGCGAAGGCGACUACCUGGACCAGCACUGACGCUGAGGAGCGAAAGCCAGGGGAGCAAACGGG
Molecule: ribosomal RNA, 253 nt
Filed under: uncultured bacterium
Lineage: Bacteria
Description: partial 16S ribosomal RNA
Rfam family: Bacterial small subunit ribosomal RNA
Source: RNAcentral